This 250-nucleotide unclassified non-coding RNA is filed under the name plant metagenome. RNAcentral describes it as "partial contains small subunit ribosomal RNA, internal transcribed spacer 1, and 5.8S ribosomal RNA". The record is from RNAcentral.
GUAGGUGAACCUGCGGAAGGAUCAUUAUUGAAUGAACUUGGCGUUGGUUGUUGCUGAUCCUCUCGGGGGUAUGUGCACACCCGUCAUCUUUAUCUCUCCACCUGUGCACCUCUUGUAGACCUAGAUAACUUUCCGAGGCAACUCGGUCGGGAGAAAUGCUGUAACAAGCUUUUCUUAAAUUUCUAGGGCUAUGUUUUUCAUAUACCCCAUAGUAUGUAACAGAAUGUAUCACUAGGCUUUGUGCCUAUAA